AAAGUCUCCGGCGACCCCAGCUGCAACCACACCCACUACUUCACCAUCAGCUGCAACCACACCCACCACUUCACCACCAGCUGCAGCUCCCACAAAGCCCAAGUCACCAUCUCCAGUCGCUUCCCCAAAAUCGGCUCCACCCGCUUCAACUCCGGUGUCGGCAACACCCAAGCCUGCGGCCGCGGCUCCAACUCCGGUGGCUACUCCUCCUACUGUUGCCGUUUCACCUCCAUUGCCAGCUCCAGUGAGCUCACCACCUUCUAAGGCUCCGGCCAGCUCUCCACCGGCUAAAUCUCCUCCGGCAGCCGCUCCGGCUCCAGUCGCUGAGCCAC
Molecule: long non-coding RNA, 332 nt
Filed under: Prunus persica (peach)
Lineage: Eukaryota; Viridiplantae; Streptophyta; Magnoliopsida; Rosales; Rosaceae
Description: long non-coding RNA (PPER_LNC006584)
Source: RNAcentral